UGGGGUGGCGGUGCGGCGGGGCUGGUGUCUGCACCCGACUCUCAGGUUUUACCGCCCAAAGGCUGUGGCCGCCUGGUGAGCGAGAGGUCCUCAGUUGGAAGCCACGCCUCCAAGUAGUAGGAACAGGGAGAUCUGUUUGCUCUCCGCAACCUCUGCGCUGAUGUCUGAGGACUUCGUUUCCUCUACCAUACGAAAUGCAGUUCGAAAGCUCCAAUUGUGACCAGGCGGUUUCUUUUGUUUUGGCUCUGUAUCUCAUGUUGAACUGGAUAUAUGGUAUAGUCUCGAAGCUUCCUGAGUGUCAGAUUGCAGGCGCUGCUUCUCAUUUUAGGGAGACAAUUGGACCCACAUCCCACCCACUGCUCUCUUCUUUUUGCUACCGGGGAUUAACGUUAAAAAACAAAACAAAAAAACUGUAUUUAUCUUUCCUAGGCUAUCGCCUCUAAUUGCCUGCCCGAAGAGACGAGUUAGGUUGAAGAAAUUGAGGGUGUGUGAGACAACAGGAGGUCAAAUGUUUAAAUCUUAAUUUUUCUCGUGAGUUCCUUACAUAGUUAUUUAUAAACUACAAUCUUGAGAAUAACCUAGAAAGAAACGUCUAGUGUUUAGCAACUUUCUUUUUAACUACAUGAAUCAUACACAAGACUGACAGAAGCUAGACAGAUGGCUCAGAGGGUGAGAGCACUUGCUGCUGUAGGGAGAACAAAGCUUCUGGACUCAUAGCCUGUAACUCCAGCUCCAGAUCAGACAUGUUCUUCUGGCCACCUCAGAAACCGGAAAUCACAUGCACACAUAUGAACAUAACCCAAAGUAAUCAACACACAAUUGUUGAAAAUGCUUUCGCUUCAAAUCACUAUGGUUGAAAUAGAUGCAGGUUGACAGUUGGACAGUUGUCUGUAUUAACAUGCUUGUUUUUGUUCUCAUGUAGGGGUUCAUGUGGCUUGCACUGACUUGGAACUUGCUUUGCAGCAGAUGCUGGUCUUGAACCCCUGCCUCCACUUCCUUGGUGCUGGGAUAGUACAAAGGAGGCUCGUAGUUUACCGGUACCAGCACAUGGAUAUUUUUCUCCUCUGGCAGCUACAUGGCAUCUCCCUGACUCUGUCUUCUUUUCCUCCUCUAUUUGCUUAGAAUUCCCACCUUACUCAAUUCUGCCCUGCUGUAGGCCACAGUAGUUUUAUUCAUUAACCAAUGGUAUUCACAGCAUACAGAGGGGAACCCCACAUCAUAGAUGAGUACUAAUUCUAAAUUAGAGUAGUAAAGAUUAAGAUAAUAUAACCAGGUUGUAUAUUAUGACCAAUUUUAGGUCUUAUUAUAUAGAUAAGUGGACAUAAAUGCAUUAAAAUGAUUUGAGUUUCAGCUAACAGAAGAGUGGCCACUAAUAAAGUUACAAAGAACAAGCACUCUGAGCAUGUUCAAUUUAAAUGUUCAGGUAUAGAGAAUUUUACUGGCAAUAUUGGCCCAGGGCUAUAAGUUACAUUUUUAAUAGUCACCAAGUCUUAAGAAUUAGAAAACAGAUGUAAAAGAGAAAAAUAUACAUUUGCUGAGUUUUGUUUGAAACUAAUUCUUUUUUUUGUUGUUGUUCUUCUUUUGAAACUAAUUCUUGCAGUGUAGCCCAAACUCACCUUAAACCCAGGUGAUGAUCAUAGUUACCUUCUUGGCUCUUCUCAGCCUACUUAAAAUGAUUUUCUUUUUUAUUUAUUUAUUUAUUUUAGUUUUUCGAGAGAGACAGCAUUUCUUUGUAGUAGCUUUCGAGCCUGUCCUGG
Non-coding RNA from Myodes glareolus (Bank vole), 1757 nucleotides. NCBI's taxonomy places the organism in Eukaryota, Metazoa, Chordata, Mammalia, Rodentia, Cricetidae. The record is from RefSeq and is a predicted model, not a curated record.